CAAAGAAAGGAGGUGAUGUUUUUGGAUUUUGCAAUGAAGGGGACUAAACCUAAGUUUUUUAUUAAUGAGCCUGACAAGAUUUACAAAUCCUGCUCCUACGUAUCUCCGGGUGCAAUAGAGAAAUCAAGGCUUACGUAGUUUUGGGUAGAAAAAUGUUUGUUUGUUGGUCAUUUUAGCGAAAGCUGUAUUGUAUUAAUCGAC
RNAcentral lists this long non-coding RNA (201 nucleotides) under Lathyrus oleraceus (garden pea). RNAcentral describes it as "Pisum sativum (pea) long non-coding RNA (PSAT_LNC028890)". The record is from RNAcentral. Lineage: Eukaryota; Viridiplantae; Streptophyta; Magnoliopsida; Fabales; Fabaceae.